Molecule: ribosomal RNA, 465 nt
Filed under: uncultured bacterium
Lineage: Bacteria
Description: partial 16S ribosomal RNA
Rfam family: Bacterial small subunit ribosomal RNA
Source: RNAcentral
GACGAACGCUGGCGGCGUGCUUAACACAUGCCAGUCGUACGGUAAGGCCCUUUCGGGGGUACACGAGUGGCGAACGGGUGAGUAACACGUGAGUAACCUGCCCACAACUUUGGGAUAACGCUAGGAAACUGGUGCUAAUACUGGAUAUGUGCUCCUGCUGCAUGGUGGGGGUUGGAAAGCUCCGGCGGUUGUGGAUGGACUCGCGGCCUAUCAGCUUGUUGGUGGGGUAGUGGCCUACCAAGGCGGCGACUGGUAGCCGGCCUGAGAGGGUGACCGGCCACAUUGGGACUGAGAUACGGCCCAGACUCCUACGGGAGGCAGCAGUGGGGAAUAUUGCACAAUGGGCGCAAGCCUGAUGCAGCAACGCCGCGUGCGGGAUGACGGCCUUCGGGUUGUAAACCGCUUUCAGCAGGGACGAAGCUUUUUGUGACGGUACCUGCAGAAGAAGCACCGGCUAACUACGUG